AUGGCCACGCCAUCCCAGUGCCGCGAGUGCCUGGCCGCCGCGGCCAGGAAGCUCGCCGACGCCUGCGGCACCCGCGGCCGGCGCGCUGGCGUCUGGAUGGACGCCUGCUUCGCGUCCUACGCCGACACCAACCCGUCCUCGCCCAGUUACGAUGGCUUCCGCGCGCGCGUCAUCACCGGCGCCAACGCGCUUGCCACCAGCUCGUCGUCCGAGCUGCAGAGCCUCACCGACUUGGCCUCGCGCGGCAGUCGGUGCGGGCGGGGGACACCUGCUGUUGGGGCCUCGUCGCGUGGCGCGACGGCGUGGCCGGCGCCAUCGUCGGCUUCGACUGCUACCUGCGCUCUGCCUCGUUGCCUUGAGCCCUGCGGCCGGUAA
RNAcentral lists this ribosomal RNA (375 nucleotides) under Triticum aestivum (bread wheat). RNAcentral's name for it is "partial small subunit ribosomal RNA". The record is from RNAcentral. Lineage: Eukaryota; Viridiplantae; Streptophyta; Magnoliopsida; Poales; Poaceae.